This 134-nucleotide small RNA is filed under the name Enterobacter roggenkampii. RNAcentral's name for it is "Enterobacteria sRNA STnc130". It matches the Rfam family "Enterobacteria sRNA STnc130". Lineage: Bacteria; Pseudomonadati; Pseudomonadota; Gammaproteobacteria; Enterobacterales; Enterobacteriaceae. The record is from RNAcentral.
UAUAACGAAUUUUUUCGUUAUCAGCGUUUUAUGCUGACUUUCAUUCGGAGGAGUAUUACUACUUUAGAGGGAGGGGUUAUUGCGUCGUAUCAAAUCAAAGGCAUAAAAAAAGCGCCCUGAGGCGCUUUUUUGUU